GACGAACGCUGGCGGCGUGCUUAACACAUGCAAGUCGAACGGAAAGGCCCUGCUUUUGUGGGGUGCUCGAGUGGCGAACGGGUGAGUAACACGUGAGUAACCUGCCCUUGACUUUGGGAUAACUUCAGGAAACUGGGGCUAAUACCGGAUAGGAGCUCCUGCUGCAUGGUGGGGGUUGGAAAGUUUCGGCGGUUGGGGAUGGACUCGCGGCUUAUCAGCUUGUUGGUGGGGUAGUGGCUUACCAAGGCUUUGACGGGUAGCCGGCCUGAGAGGGUGACCGGCCCAAUGGGGACUGAGAUACGGCCCAGACCCCUAGGGGGGGCAGCGGGGGGAAAUUUUGCACAAGGGGGGGAAGCCUGAGGCAGCAACGCCGGGUGGGGGAGGACGGCCUUCGGGUUGUAAACCGCUUUCGCCUGUGACGAAGCGUGGGUGACGGUAAUGGGUAAAGAAGCACCGGCUACCUACUU
RNAcentral lists this ribosomal RNA (467 nucleotides) under uncultured bacterium. Its description in RNAcentral is "partial 16S ribosomal RNA". It matches the Rfam family "Bacterial small subunit ribosomal RNA", at positions 28 to 506 of the family's 1533-position model. The record is from RNAcentral.